CUCUUCCCAGUACCUUUCCAGGGUGGUGAUUGCAGCUGGUUCAUGCCUAAGGUGAUAACAACAAUAAUAAUGCUUUUUGUGGAACUCUGGAAAAUGAAGAGGAUUAAGUCGUUUCUAUAAAGCCAAAGCAGCCUGCCAUCUCCUUCUCUUCUGGGCUCUAGUCCAAUUUGCACAGCAGUUGCAAAGGAAAGCAAACGCAUCACUAGAUUCAGCGAGAAAUAUUGUAACAGUAUGUAAUCUCUGUCAAGAUAAAAUUGCUUUGUGAUUUACAUUACAAUAAAUCCUGACCUUUAAGUGCUGCCGACUAA
Molecule: long non-coding RNA, 308 nt
Organism: Ornithorhynchus anatinus (platypus)
Lineage: Eukaryota; Metazoa; Chordata; Mammalia; Monotremata; Ornithorhynchidae
Exons: 2
Source: RefSeq, a predicted model, not a curated record